Molecule: ribosomal RNA, 801 nt
Filed under: uncultured bacterium
Lineage: Bacteria
Description: bacterial SSU rRNA
Rfam family: Bacterial small subunit ribosomal RNA
Source: RNAcentral
CGGGAAGCCGUUGAUCAAUCCUUCGGGAAAGUGAUGCGGCGGAGAGUGGCGAAAGGGUGAGUAACACGUAGGUAACCUGCCUCUAAGUUGGGGAUAACCCCGCGAAAGUGGAGCUAAUACCGAAUGUGGUCGUCCCGGGCAUCCGGGAUUGAUCAAAGAUGGGGAUCCUUCGGGACCUGUCGCUUGGAGAGGGGCCUGCGUCCCAUCAGCUAGUUGGUGUGGUAACGGCGCACCAAGGCUUACGGGUAGGUGGUCUGAGAGGAUGGUCACCCACACUGGGACUGAGACACUGCCCAGACUCCUACGGGAGGCUGCAGUCGAGGAUCAUUCGCAAUGCGCGAAAGCGUGACGAUGCGACGCUGCGUGGAGGAUGACGGCCCUAGGGUUGUAAACUCCUGUCAUCCGGGAAAAAGUGUUCAGGGCUAAUACCCCUGGAAAAAGAUGGUACCGGAAGAGGAAGCCACGGCUAACUCUGUGCCAGCAGCCGCGGUAAUACAGAGGUGGCGAGCGUUGUUCGGAUUUACUGGGCGUAAAGCGUGCGUAGGCGGUUUCGUGUGUCGGGUGUGAAAUCCCAUGGCUCAACUGUGGAAUUGCAUUCGAAACUACGAAACUAGAGUGCAGGAAGGGAGAGCGGAAUUCCUGGUGUAGCGGUGAAAUGCGUUGAUAUCAGGAGGAACACCGGUGGCGAAGGCGGCUCUCUGGAAUGUAACUGACGCUCAGGCACGAAAGCGUGGGGAGCAAACAGGAUUAGAUACCCUGGUAGUCCACGCCGUAAACGGUGCGCACUUGGUGUUGGAGGUA